This is a long non-coding RNA of Schistocerca gregaria, 12359 nucleotides long. RefSeq lists it as uncharacterized. The record is from RefSeq and is a predicted model, not a curated record. NCBI's taxonomy places the organism in Eukaryota, Metazoa, Arthropoda, Insecta, Orthoptera, Acrididae. The transcript is spliced from 5 exons.
CUUUUUUCUUGUUCUGUGGUGGUAUGACUCUUACGCUGACGUCACACACGCAGGUGCAGCAGCCUUGUUGCUUUUUACGGAACUUGGUUCCUAGGUGGCACUGGAUCAUAUCUACAUCCCUGCAAAUCAAUACAGCGUUUAUAUGCCGAUAUCUCACUGGAUACCGUUACGCCCAGUUCUAGCUACUCAUGCACUUAUUGAUCGGUAGCUUGGAGCUCAGAUGGAAUAGAGGGGAUAUAGCUAGACUCCGGGUCACGGAAGGAGUUGGGCUCUUCUAGCGUUGCAAGCAUAAAGUUCGGGGUUACUGUUUCAUAGUAUUCUUCAUUGCGGGUAACUGUAGUUGGCUCUUGACGUUUGAGAAACACAUUUAAAUAGUGAAUGACAAAAUGUGGUUCAGCAGUGAGACCCCGAAGUUACCCCAGCGUUCUCUUAGGAAGCGGUUUUUAGCCGUUAGGAAGUUCCACGCAUGUAUGACCGAUAACUGAGCUACGGGUCAUCUGGAUUUCGUCAAACAGAACAAUGUAUGUUGUUACACAGUUAAUAGUAGCCCGAAGCUGUUUAAUAUAAAUGUAUGGCUUAGUUAUUGAGGUCGCAAGAGCCACGAAAAUUUUUGAAUGCCCGCCCGUUCGACAUAUGGAUAUUGAUUUGCUGAGAUUGGUGGUGGGAGUCAUCUUGGCCGUCACGAUUUUCAUUUAUCGUAAUUUCAGAAUACUCCUUUGCAAUUCGAGAAAUUAAAUAGCGAACUCUUUAUUUAUAGUCAGUGACAAAGUGAACAUUAUACACAUAACAUUAAAACCCACAACUCAGUUUUUAUAUUACUAAAAUUCAUUCAGAAACUUCAUGUAAUAUGGCUAAAAGACGUGUGAUGGUGAAAUUAAGUAUAGAUCGUUUCAAACUUUCUCUCGUGUUGAGAAAUAUUCUUGUUUAUUUCAUAAAAUGUUAACAAAUGCUGUUCACUUUUUUCCGCCGAGUCAUACCAGAAAUUGCUGAAUGUUAAAGUUUUUGCAAGACAUAAAACUUUAAAACAAUAUUUUCAAACAUACUAUUUCAAAAAUACAUAAUUUGAAACAUCCCAUUUCUACCUUGCACUACAGCUGUAUGAAGUAAAUGGAGUCUUACGACUUUUCCACUAUGCGUCAGAGCAUAGAAUUUGAGAAGCAGGUGGACUUCUGGUUGGGAAUUUGGAGAUAAGGUGAUAGAGCUAUUUGGUCUGGAGAAUGUAUCGGUUGAUACAAAUUGUCAAAAGCACGAUGGAGCCCCUCCGCACUGUGGCAUUGGUGUCUGUGAGUUGUCGGAGGAAUGACUGCCAAUGAAGUGGAUCGGUCGCCGUGGUCCUGUGGAGUGGCUGCCCAGAUCCCCUGCCUUAACGCCCCUCGAUUUUUAUCUAUGGGGACAUCUUAAUUAGAUAGUGUAUGCUGAGAACAUCCCUGAUUUGAGACACCUGGAGGAACGCAUACAACACGCCUGUGACCAAAUUGCGGCGACUACAGUUGUGCAUUGCACGAGAUGGACAACACGUAGAACAUGUGUUGUAGCAGUCGGUAUGAAGAUGUCCACAAUUUUCUCUGUACGACUCGUUAAGCACCACUGAAGCUGCAGUGUGUGAAGUCGGUAAGGAGGUCAGGGUACGGAGAUCCCUGCACGGCGUCUCGUCCUCUCGUGACGGCAUGCGGCAUUCGGCUACCGGAAGGUCCGUGCCGAAGCCUCCGGACAGUUCCGCGACGCUCAUGGCGGAGGUUCCAGCCGAGCCGGUUAUUCGAGGCGGCACACUGCUACGCGCACCGAGCCUGACUGCACACUUGUGGCCAUUGUGGGAAAUGUUUCACCCGCUCUUACGACUCGAAAGAGCACGAAAGGUCGCACGGGAGGAAGAGCUACAGCUGCGACGUGCGGAUCGGCCCUACCGCCGUGACGCGGCAGUCCGGCUGCACGACUACCUGCGAAAACGCGUCCGCGUACACACGGAGGAGCGGCUGCCCACCUGCCGCAUUCACAGUAAGUUAUUGGGACAGGUGCACCUGUGUGUGCGAGCGUGCCUGCACACCGGCGAGUCGGCGCGGUCGGGAGAUCUGCGGCGAGCUGUUCGUCUGUCACACGUGCCGGAAGUUGCACAGGUGUGUGUGUAGCGGACUCCGGCAGAGGCACCGGAAGGUACGAAGUUGGCGAGCUGUUACUGUUAUGUUUUACCACUUGUACAUACCUGCAGAAAAUCAUAUUGUAUCAGCCUCAGCUAUUUUUUUCAGAACACCUACGUGUCUGUAAUUAAAAGGAAUUACACGCACGACUUCUGUAUAUUUCUUAAGCAUUUGCACAUUGCUACGAGAUGUUUCUAUUUGCAUAUAUUUUGCACUGUAUGGUAUGUACCUAUUAACAGAAACUCUGCAAUUGCAAAUCUUCUUCCAUCUCAAUCUUUUUUCAUAACCUGUUCUGAUAGCAAUAAUAAAGAUUUUAUUUUAUAGUAGCUGAUAUUGGUACAAUAUGCAUUUCAGUUUCUGUUUACUCUGUCUCGUGUAAAGAAGCUUGUAGUCGAGUAGCGGGAGCAUUCUGUUAAGUAUUAACAAAGAGGAUACCAUUUGAAAAAGUUGCGAGACUGUCAAUUGUUAUCGAGUGGGACUUAUUGCCGAUUACUCGUUUUGCAACGUGCACCGAAGAGAUCGAUCGAAGUUUCGUGUCGAUUCUCCGUUUCUCGAAAUAAAACUGUAGUAAGUAAUAGGUUGAUAAUUUUGGACGUACAACUCGGUUAGAUUUGGCAAUUGUCAUUUUUGUGGAUGUCAGACGGUGGUGCGGAGGACGUGAUCGUGAAACAAAGUAUAAAACUGUACUUGCCUCCGUUGGCAACUAGAGGGUUUUAUUUCGAGAAACUUAAGUUUUUCUAUUUUAGUGUCAGCUGUAUAUAUAGCUUAUUGAGUAAUGCAUGUUACGUGGUGGUUACUAAUAAGCCAAGCUGCUUAAACAGUAAUCUGAAACAGAAGUUUUGUCAGCUGUCCUCGGGAGGAGCAUUGUAGUUGCACAGUUGCACAGGGCGUAUACACUGCAGCUGGUGUAUGGGUUGUACUGAGAUUUGAUGCCUGUGCCUCCAGGAUCCAAUGCAGUGUUUUACACAGCGCACCUCAUUCCUGGGAGUCUUGGAGGAAGGAAGACACCAAAUUAUAAUAUGUACUCUGGGCCACAGUUCAAAAGGGAGAAGGAAAUGUGAAGGGAAAGCUUAAAAUUGUGUGAAACCGGCGAUGCUGCCGUGUCGAUACGUGGCCGGUUUGUCCUCUUGUAAGCUGGGUUUGGGGUGUACGAGUGCUUACGGCACCUCAUUACCGAAUGUCUCGUAUACACAGUUUGAAUGCGAACCGUAUUGUCCUCGUCAGAGCCUGGUAUAUUUCAUUUGAUGUUCCUUAAAAGUUGCACUCAGUUUUAUACUGUAGCAGACGUGCACUGUGGAGGGUGAAGGGAAUGUCAGCUCUGGAUUAUACUGACUGAUACUUCGCACCCAUACAUACUUCAUAUGUGUGAGAUGUUGACUUCGAAUAUCCUCCGUCGUGGUCACGAGUACUAAUGCAAUGCCACCCGCUCGUGUCGGCACCUCGUGGGAUGUUUGUGAAAGUGGGGACUGCCGGGUGCUAGGUCCCCUGUCAGUUCUGACGUGCUGUUUUGGCCAGAGAAUGUGUACUGAGAGAUGAGAAUAUGGGGCUGAUAUUGCAACAGUGUUACGUUUGAUUACAUCUGCUGUUUUAGACAUGUCGACAUAUACAGAAUGACAGUAUGAGAAAUGAAAAAUUGUGAAUAAAUUAUUACCCUUAGUGAGUCAUAGUACGGCACACUACGUACAGUGUUUGUGGUGUUGCUCCUUAUUCCCCGUCUUAAACUUCUCCUUAUGCCGUGUUGACACCGUUUGUAGCUCUUAUUGUCAGUGCCAGCUGACCGAACGACUAAAAGCUACUUUUAGUUACGAGGUGUACUGUGGUCUGGGUACAUACUACACACACUUCUGUUUCCAUUUCUCUUUCUGUGCUGAGCAGCACAUAUUUGUGCCCACAGUAAGAGUGCCAUCUGCGUUCUACACUCCCAGUGUAUCCUCUGUUCAGAGUCUCGAUGCCGAGACUGAAAUAACGACGUGUUAACACUCUCAGUGUAACAGAACUAAUGACUGCACAUAAGUAUGGAUUGCUUGAAGGUUGAAAUAAUGUAUGACGGUUGUAACAACUUGUUCCCAGUGUAAAAGUUUGAAAGAAUAAGAUGUGACAACUGGGGAAUACACCACUCUCUGCUGAGGGCGUACAGAGUUGUCGGCAGCGAGUGUUCUAAUGUGUGAAGAACUGCACCAGUCAAAACUAUGAAUAAGCCGUAAACAUACAGGGUGCUACAAAAAGGUACGACCAAACUUUCAGGAAACAUUCCUCACACACAAAGAAAGAAAAUAUGUUAUUUGGACAUGUGUCCAGAAGCGCUUACUUUCCAUGUUAGAGCUCAUUUUAUUACUUCUCUUCAAAUCACAUUAAUCGUGGAAUGGAAACACACAGCAACAGAACGUACUAGCGUGACUUCAAACACUUUGUUACAGGAAAUGUUCAAAAUGUCCUCCGUUGCGAGGAUACUUGUAUCGCACGGAAUCCCUGAUGCGCUGUUGCAGCCCUGGAGAAUGGCGUACUGUAUGACAGCCAUCCUCAAUACAAGCACAAAGAGUCUCUACAUUUGGUACCGGGCUUGCGUAGACGAGAGCUUUCAAAUGCCCCCAUAAAUGAAAGUCAACAGGGUUGAGGUCAGGAUAACGUGGAGGCCACGGAAUUGGUCCGCCUCUACCAAUCUGUCGGGCACCAAAUCUGUUGUCGAGAAGUGUAUGAACACUUAGACUGAAAUUUGCAGGAGCUCCAUCGUGGAUGAAGCGCAUGUGUCGUACUUGUAAAGGCACAUGUUCUAGCAGCACAGGUAGAGUAUCCCAUAUGAAAUCAUGAUAACGUGCUCCACUGAGCGUAGGUGGAAGAACAUGGGGCCCAGUCGAGACUUCACGGACAAUACUUGCCCAAACGUUCACAGAAAAUGUGUGUGGAUGACGUGAUUGCUCAAUUGGGUGCGGAUUCUCGUCAGCCCACACAUGUCGAUUGUGAAAAUUUUCAAUUUGAUCACGUCGGAAUGAAGCCUCACCCGUAAAGAGAACAUUUGCACUGAAAUGAGGAUUGACACAUUGUCGGAUGAACCGAUCGCAGAAGUGUACCCAUGGAGGCCAAUCAGCUGCUGAUAGUGCCUGCACACGCUGUACACAGUACGGAAACAACUGGUUCUCCCGUAGCACUCUCCAUACAGUGACGUGGUCAACGUUACCUUGUACAGCAGCAACUUCUCUGACGCUGACAUUAGGGUUAUCGUCAACUGCACGAAGAAUUGCCUCGUCCAUUGCAGGUGUCCUCGUCGUUCUAGGUCUUCCCCAGUCGCGAGUCAUAGGCUGGAAUGUUCCGUGCUCCCUAAGACGCCGAUCAAUUGCUUCGAAUGUCUUCCUGUUGGGACACCUUCGUUCUGGAUGAAAGCGAAAAAGAUAAGAAGUCAGUACAUAAAUAACACUAAAAAGUUACAACUCAAAAAUUACCUUAAAAUAAAUUCAUUCACGAAGACACUGACUUGCUAUCUCGUAUAGGGUAUAAAUAACGUUCCACAGGUUUAUUAGCUUUUACUCCUGGGUUUUGUGACUUUAUUUCUUGUAGUAAUAGCUGUUUUUUUCAUAUUCUCAAGAUGCGUUAACUGUUUCAGUGAAAGAAUGUAGUGCAACUUGUGACUGAACUGUUACACCUGCACAUUUUUGUAGUGCUCUGGACCUUCAGUGGUAACUGUGUUAGUCACCGAACUGGGUAGCCCAGUGCAUGAGAUCUUGCCCGAGAUGCUUAAUGUUGUGGGUUCGAAUCCUGUCGACUUCUCGAAUUUUUCUUUUUAAAUUUGAUCGAAAUUGUCACUUUUGUUAUUUACUUGAUUAAUGAUUAGAAAUAAGUUUAGUUCUGUUGUGCUCAGUAAAUAAUUGUUGAAAUAAAAAAAGUAGAUUUAUUCCUUAGAAAUCUCAGAAGUUAUUGUCGUCGUGUCCUGACAUAGGUGGGAGAGGGCAAAAGGGGUUACUGGUCAGUCUGCACUCCCGAGUGGUACAGAGCAGAAGGCAGGAGGACAAUUCACAGUGAAGGCAUUUGAUUGUUUCUUCCAUCUGAGCCAACACUGGUACAGACAUUUACUAGAAUGCAGGUGGUGAGAUUCGGUAGGGAACUCGUUGUGGAGACUCGUGGACAAACAGGGUUUUGAAAUACUUGUUUAUUCCAGACAGGACUAAUACACUGGAGGCUAGUUCGAGUUAGAAAAAGCAUGAAUAGCGCUGAUACAACAGAAGGCAGUGCAGAAGUCCCAGGAAUGGAUGCUAACCACAGUUAGUAGCAAACACUAGCAGCAUCUGCAGGCAACAACUUAGUUGCAAAACAAGACAUAAUGAAUGUGACACUGUUCACCGAGGCACUCAGAGAGAGAGAGAGAGAGAGAGAGAGAGAGAGAGAGAGAGAGAGAGAGAGAGAGAGAGAGCAGACUUAACACCGAGCUGGACCGAGACUGGAGUUGACUGACACAGAUUCGGCACCCAAAUCGUCUGACUGACAACUCUGCCUGGGGGUUUUAAAGAGUCGCGUGGGGCACUGUUUUUGCCACUUAAAGCCACCCAGCCAAUCCCGUAGGUCUCUUGCAGGCCCCUGCCAAUCGUGGUUUAGUUAGGUCCCCUCUACUGCUCCUAAGGCAGGGAUGUUAAUGCAGUUACACUAAGUCCGUAUUUGGUAUCAACAUUGUUCAGCUGAAAGCUAAACGUAACUGCUCUGCCAAAUAAGGCUUACAACAUUAUUGUUAUACGUUAUUUAGCCGCACCCCUCGGGCUUCUCGGAGUAGGGACUGCUAGGUCAACAGUUUUUGACAUGUUCGCUCUCUUUGUAUCCUCUGUGGGUCUACUGAUGUUGCUAUUUGCAGGGCUGGUAUCGAGCUGGCUUUAUACACUAGUAUGUGCCUGUCGGUUACAAAGUUCUACGGUGACAACCUACUACAGUGUCUAGACGACGAAUGAAGUUACAUGUUAAUUCCUAGAAGAGCAACUAAUGCUCUCGGACCGUGUCUGGGGGGCGUCUGCAUUUUUGCAAGGCUCUCCCCUUACUGUUUACUUAAUGUAACAAUAUCCCUUGUAGUUUCGUCUGUCCUCAGCACCGUCAGUGCUUCUGCACCUAGGAACGCCUGUCCUCCUUUCUCACAGCCUCGAGAUAACACUACAGUAGCAAUAUAUUACAUUGUGCACUGUACUACAAAGCAAGAAGUUUGCAAAAAUGAGCUUACAAAGUGUCACAAAAGCUCUUCAACGUGUCGUUUGGUUAAAGCAAGCAAAAACGUAAUCUGUUGUGAAAGAGAGAACCAAAUUACAAGGAAAUGUAAGGGAUACCUUGUAUAGAUGUUUUACACUGGUGCAAAUGCGAUGCUUGUCGGAUGAAAACAAAAGGAGUAAGUGGAAGAAUUCAGAGGACCUCGCCAAUGCGUUGACCUUAAGAUCUCUAUUCCAAAAGCAUUUGCUUAUUUGUAAAAGCAAACAAUGCCUUUACUGAGCAGGGCAACACUUCAGAAAUGGAUGAAGCAAUUAUACAUUCUCGAAGAUAUCCCGUAUUUAUUGAAGAAAGUUGAAUGAUACUUUUGUGUGGCAGCAACAAGUUUAUUACGAUUUUCACAUAGGUACUAAUACUAGUUGCUAACUGAUAAAUACAGACGGGUGUCUUGUCGUGUGCUCACCUGCUUCCUGGUGGUGGCUCAGCGAGCACCCUACUGACUUCGAUCACGUCUCCACACUAAUUACGCAUACCGUCGGCCUAGCUCUGCGUGUUCACCACCUGGUGGAUGUGACCCCUUACGGAGGUGUGGGGGGCCACAGUGAGGUUUGCACACGAGUGCGUAACAGUCAGGGCAGAUGCGGUCACCUUACUCGUUGUGGCCAGCUUUGUGACUGCCCGCUGUUCACACACGGCCCUGAAGGCUGACAAAACCAUUGUGGUAGUGAUUUGUGUCACUGGCAUUUUAUCACUUUCGUUUGUAUUCAAUUGAUUGAUAAUGAGAAAUUAAACAGGUCUCGCGAGAGAAGUACACUGGCUUGAGCAGCUAAAACGAGUGCAAAUGCAUUUAAAGUAUGAAGCUGUGCCUGUUACACAGGGUGAGGCAUAAUAAGGAGCAAUUUUUAAAAGGCAGUUAAGUAAAAACACUUCGUUACUUUCUUAUUUCGUAAUAUUAAAAUAAGUCAAGUAUUUUCUGCAAUAGUAAAACAUUGGUUAUUUUUUAAAGAUAAUUCCGGUAAGAUAGCGUCCGUUUCGUCACACACGUUUGUUCACCUGCACCGUGAAGUGACUCGUCACAUGGCGCAGCAUUGCCAAUGGCAUUUGAGCGACUUCCUUUCGGAUCUGCCCUGUCAGGGCUUCAAUUAUCCACGGAGGAUUAUCUCGAUAAACUUUGCUUUUCAAGUAACCCCACAAAAAAAAGCCACGUGCUGUGAGGUCCGGCGAAUGAGAGGGCUGUGCGAUACCCCCAUUUGGGAGAUUGCACGAUUUGGAAACAAAAGAUUGACAAUAUUUCUGCAUACUCGAGCAAUUUGGGAGGUUGCUAUGUCCUGCCGGAAACCGUCUCGUUGUUAACCUCGUAGUGUGCAAGUCGUGGAGUAAAAAAAAAUAAUCCGACGUGUGUGCGUAUGAAGAUGUGGCACACCACACAGUAACUUUUGCAGUGUGCAGUGGUUAUUGGUGCAGUUCUCUAGGAUUAAUGUCACUCCAAAAUCGAAAGUUCUCCUUUUCACAUAACCUGAGAAAUGGAAUUGAGCUUCGUCACUAUCCACAAUCAGGUUACAAUAUCCUCGUCUAGUUUAAUAGUGUCCAAAAAUUCUAAGCGGAAUUGGCUUUGGCUCACAUAGAUUCUUUAAGGGUCUGAACCAUUUGGAUUUUGUAGGGUUGAAAGUGCAAAUUGUUUAAAAUCCCAUGUGUAGCGCUGUGUCGGCAAGCUGAGUGACGAGGGCUUCCCUCAGUGGUAACUGUGACAUGUUCGAUGUUUCCAGGUGUGUGCACAGUUUUUGGUCUCCCACAUUUCUUCUUUGUCAUUGACGCCGUCUCCUCAAAGUUCUCAAAUGUCAUUUAGAUUCGAUUUGCACCCACUAUUAAAUUUACACAAUGAUUUCUUUCCGUGUUUUGUGUGGGCUGACGAAAUAGUUGCUCUUGAAACAUUUAAGAAAUUGGCUGUCUUGGUUACUGAUGCUCCAGCUAAUUGGGUCCACACAAUCUGCCCUCUUUAUAACUCUUAUAGGUCUUUCUUUGCAUGUCAACCUCAGCCUCGGAAUGCAAAUAUGAAGUGUGCACUACACGUUAACAGCCCUGCAAUGAUGGUAGUCCGUUCUGAACAAGCUCGAAACAUGCCUUAACUGCAUUGUUGACUGUCAAACGUAACCAUCCCAGUACUACCACUAUUAACAUUAUUUUGCAUACCCCUGCGGCAACCCUAUAUUCGUGCCAGAAUAUUAACACAACUGAUUUUUAAACUAGUGAACACACAACUGAAGUCGGUUUGCAGCUGCCUUACCUCCACACCCGUGGUCACCAAUGCACACACGCACACGCACAUGCACACGCACACGCACACGAGAGCACCCUGUCAGCGGCUGCCAUGGUCAUUUCACUGGCUGCGAGCAUCAUCGGUUCCAUGUCCUCGGAUGCCAUUGCAUUAUCGGCAGGCACAGGUAACAAACUGGUGUGAAUAACUUAGCCCUUCAACGAUUUUAUGAUUGGUGAUACACAGUUGCAUUUAGAGGUUUGAUAAACUUGUUAAGAGAAUUCAGUGAAAGCAUUGUGAGACAUCAGCUAGUGGUUGCCACUGAUGGUAUAUUUUACUGCACACACACAUCUAAGGAAACUCAGUGGCAAGCAUUAUAGUCUUGAAAAACACACACACACACAACUGGUAAUUACAUAGAUCUUGUCUUGUGCUCACCUGCUUCCUGGUGGUGCUCUGACAGCAAACGGCUGACUUCGAUUAAGUCUUUAGGUACGUUAUGUGUUGCAUCCACCCAGCUCUGCACGUCCAUCACCUGGUGGGUGUGAGGCUUUAUGCAGGCGAUGGGGUCCUCACUUAGGUUUGGACACGUUUGCCUGAUAGUGAGGGCAGAUGUGAUCACUUUGCUCUCCACAGUUAGUUUUGUUACUGCCUGCUGUUCACACACAGUCCUGGGGGCUGACAAGCCAUUGUGGUAGCGAUAUUUUAUCAUUUUUUUUAUGUAUUUAGUUGAUUAAUAACAAGAGGUUGGAUUGCACUUAUGAGAGAAGUACACCAGCUUGAGCAGUUAAAACAGAGCGCAAAUGAAUUUACAAUACGGAAGUGUGCCUGUUGUACAGGCAACAUAUGCUAGAGAAAAAUUACUUUUAUUUAUAAAAAAUACACACAUUAUUUGAUCAAAAUGAAAAUGACAUAGAAGUUGGUGGUGCCCUGCAUCGGUAAUGCUGGAAUUCAAUACGGUGUUAGUCCACCCUUUGCCUUGAUCACAGAUUCCACUCUCGCAGGCAUAUGUCCCGUCAGAUGCUGUAAGGUUUCUUGGGGAAUGGCAGCCUAUUUAUCACGGAGUGUUGCAAUGCGGAGAGGUAUCGAUGUCAGUCGGUGAGGCCUGGCGUGUAGUCAGCGUUCCAAAAUAUCCCGAAGGUGUUUCACAGGACUCGGUAGGGACUCUGCAAGCCAGUCAGUUACAGAGAUGUUAUUGUGUGUAACCGCUCUGCCACAGGCUGUGCAUUACAAACAGCUGCUCGAUCAUGUUGAAAGGUGUGAUUGCCGUCCCCGAAUUGCUCUACAACUGUGGGAAGCGAGAAGGUGCAUCAGUGUAAGCCUGUGCUGUGAUAGUACCAUGCAAAACAAGGGAUGCAAGCCCCCUCCACGAAAAACAUGAUCACACCAUAACUCGAGAGCAGCCCCAAAUUUUACUGUUGGCACUACAAUUGCUGGCAGGCGAAGGGCAUUCGCCAUACCCACACCCUGCCAUCGGAUCGCCACAUUGUGUACCGUGAUUUGUCACUCCACACAAUGUUUUUCCACUGUUCAAUCAUCCCAUGUUUAUGCUCCUUACACCAACCGAGGAAGACUUUGGCAUUUACAGGUGUGAUGUGUGGCUUACGAGCAGCUGCUUGACCAUGUAAACCAAGUUUUCUCACCUCCCACCUAACUGUCACAGUAUGCGCAGUGGACCCUGAUGCUGUUUGGAAUUAACAGAACUGGAUUUUAAACUAGGGACACACAACAGAAGUCAGUUUGGCGCUGCCUUACCUCCACACCCAUGGUCACCAAUGCUGUUUCACACACAUACACACACACACACACACACACACACACACAAAACUAGUAAACACAUAUGAGCAUCUUGUCUAGUGCUCAUCUCCUUCCUGGUGGUGCUCAGUGAGUAAAUGACUCACUUUAAUAAUUUCUUUGGACUUGUUAUGUGUUACAUACACCCAGCUCUACAUGUCCGUCGCCUGGUGGCAGCUUCACAGUAGGAAUCAAGAAACCAGGAUUGUAGGUCUUCUUUUUGGCACUCUCCAGACGUAAGCCUGGCAUGAAGUUGGGAAUAAUGAAAACUUUGACUCUUCGGACUAUAAGACGUGUUUCCAUUGAUAAGCCGUUCAGGAUUUAUGCUCCUGACACCAUGUUUUACAGUUCUAUGCGUCAGUUUUCGUUACUAAUGGUUUCGGUAUAGCAGUUUGUCGACCAAUAUUGGCUUUGUGGAGUUGGCGAUGGAUGGUGUUGGUAGAUACUGGGUCUCAGAAGAUGGCUGUUGACCUUUGCAGUCAGUUUAGCUGCUGUAGCUUUGUGUUGUUUUGGCACAAUUCGUCUUAGCGUACCAAGAUCUCCGUCAUUUAGUAUCGAUUUGCACCCACUAUUCCAUUUACACAAGGAUUUCUUUCCGUGUUUUGUGUAGGCUGUCGAAACAGUUGCUCUUGAAAUGUUUAAAAAAUUGGCUGUCUUGGUUACUGAUGCUCCAGAUAAUUGGGCCCUGACUAUCUGCCCUCUUUGUAACUCUUUUAGGUCUUUCUUUGCAUGUCGACCUCAGGCUCUGAAUGCGAAUAUGAAGUGUGCACUACACGUUAACAGCCCUGCAAUGAUGGUAGUCCGUUCUGAACAAGCUCGAAACAUGCCUUAACUGCAUUGUUGACUGUCAAACGUAACCAUCCCAGUACUACCACUAUUAACAUUAUUUUGCAUACCCCUGCGGCAACCCUAUAUUCGUGCCAGAAUAUUAACACAACUGAUUUUUAAACUAGUGAACACACAACUGAAGUCAGUUUGCAGCUGCCUUACCUCCACACCCUUGG